RNAcentral lists this ribosomal RNA (236 nucleotides) under uncultured Candidatus Saccharibacteria bacterium. Its description in RNAcentral is "partial 16S ribosomal RNA". It matches the Rfam family "Bacterial small subunit ribosomal RNA", at positions 583 to 818 of the family's 1533-position model. Lineage: Bacteria; Candidatus Saccharimonadota. The record is from RNAcentral.
AUAAGUGAAUAGUGAAAUCUGGUGGCUCAACCAUACAGGCUAUUGUUCAAACUGUGCAACUUGAGAGUGGUAGAGGUCACUGGAAUUUCUUGUGUAGGAGUGAAAUCCGUAGAUAUAAGAAGGAACACCAAUGGCGUAGGCAGGUGACUGGACCAUUUCUGACGCUAAGGCACGAAAGCGUGGGAGCGAACCGGAUUAGAUACCCGGGUAGUCCACGCCGUAAACGAUGGAUACUG